RNAcentral lists this ribosomal RNA (410 nucleotides) under uncultured microorganism. RNAcentral's name for it is "bacterial SSU rRNA". It matches the Rfam family "Bacterial small subunit ribosomal RNA", at positions 509 to 917 of the family's 1533-position model. The record is from RNAcentral.
CAGCCGCCGCGGUAAUACGUAGGUGGCAAGCGUUGUCCGGAAUUAUUGGGCGUAAAGCGCGCGCAGGCGGUUCCUUAAGUCUGAUGUGAAAUCUCGCGGCUCAACCGCGAGCGGCCAUUGGAAACUGGGGAACUUGAGUGCAGGAGAGGGGAGCGGAAUUCCACGUGUAGCGGUGAAAUGCGUAGAGAUGUGGAGGAACACCAGUGGCGAAGGCGGCUCUCUGGCCUGUAACUGACGCUGAGGCGCGAAAGCGUGGGGAGCGAACAGGAUUAGAUACCCUAGUAGUCCACGCCGUAAACGAUGAGUGCUAAGUGUUAGAGGGUAUCCACCCUUUAGUGCUGCAGCAAACGCAUUAAGCACUCCGCCUGGGGAGUACGGCCGCAAGGCUGAAACUUAAAGGAAUUGGCGGG